This 468-nucleotide ribosomal RNA is filed under the name uncultured bacterium. RNAcentral describes it as "partial 16S ribosomal RNA". It matches the Rfam family "Bacterial small subunit ribosomal RNA", at positions 28 to 507 of the family's 1533-position model. The record is from RNAcentral.
GACGAACGCUGGCGGCGUGCUUAACACAUGCAAGUCGAACGGAAAGGCCCUGCUUUUGUGGGGUGCUCGAGUGGCGAACGGGUGAGUAACACGUGAGUAACCUGCCCUUGACUUUGGGAUAACUUCAGGAAACUGGGGCUAAUACCGGAUAGGAGCUCCUGCUGCAUGGUGGGGGUUGGAAAGUUUCGGCGGUUGGGGAUGGACUCGCGGCUUAUCAGCUUGUUGGUGGGGUAGUGGCUUACCAAGGCUUUGACGGGUAGCCGGCCUGAGAGGGUGACCGGCCACAUUGGGACUGAGAUACGGCCCAGACUCCUACGGGAGGCAGCAGUGGGGAAUAUUGCACAAUGGGCGGAAGCCUGAUGUAGCAACGCCGCGUGCGGGAUGACGGCCUUCGGGUUGUAAACCGCUUUCGCCUGUGACGAAGCGUGAGUGACGGCAAUGGGUAAAGAAGCACCGGCUAACUACGUG